GUGGACAUUUGUCUGUUCGUUGAUGAUGUGCUUGUGAUAAUUGUACGCGUUAUUCAUUGGCAUCUUGUGUUCUCAUUGCUUUGGAUUUGCUCUUCAUUUAGGAUUUUAGUUUUGUAAGGAUUAAAUUUGCAGAGAGAUUUUUUUAGUUUAAUGAGGUUUUGUUGUGUAUAUUGUACUAUAUUGAUAUUGCGUGACUGUUCAUCACUGAAAUUCUUUUUCUAGCAAGACUUAAACAUAUUUGGAGAUAUAUUUGUUGCAUAUGUGUGUGUAGGUGGCGAGUACAUGUAUAUAUUUACUGAUGUUCAUGUAUACUUAAUUAUGUAGAUACCAGGAUAUUAAACAUCAUCCUUGGAGCGUGACAUCAAAGGCGACAACAAUUAAAAGUAACAAAUGAAAGCAAAAUAUCACAAACAACACUAACGAUUACACCAACAGUAAUAUCAAAAGCAAAAUAUAUAUCAAUACUAACAAGAAUAGGAAGAUGUUCUACAGUACCAGAAGGAGCAUUCAGUUGUAUCAACCCAUACUCCCUAAUCCCAGUGGCAAUCCCAUAAAAAAUCAACUCUUAGACCUUUAGCAACCACCAGCACCACCAACAACAUAAUCACUACCACCACCACCACUACUACUACUCGCACCAUUAGCACCACCAUCACGACCACCACCAUAAAGUGAAUCAUUUGGAACUUCAUCAGUAUUUGCAGCUGACACCACCCUACUGAUAAUCAAGGUGAUCCAUGUGAAUCCAAGUCUUAUUGAUUUCACUUUGUCGCAGAAACCCUGAGAAAGUCAUCAAUAAAACCAACCCGUUUCCUUCUUAGUAAACCAUAAAGGAAAUAUGUUGCACAUUAAAAGGUGAUUUUCUUAGUAAAUUAAUCGUGUUUAUCAAUCGUUGAAGCGAUAUAUAUACCACUGAAUGGCAAAAUUGUCUCAUGGUACGAAUGCUCCGGCUUAAUAAAGUUACCACAAUAUUAUACCAAAUAUCAAUGGUUCGAAUUAGUGCCGUUCCUGUUCAGCUGGAGAAGUGCUUCAACUAUCAAUAUAUCAAUAGUUCCAGUGAUUGAAAACAGUAGUCUAUGUGGUUAUAUGGUUAAAAUAAAAGUAAUUAAAUAAUGU
This is a long non-coding RNA of Octopus sinensis (East Asian common octopus), 1116 nucleotides long. RefSeq lists it as uncharacterized. The transcript has 2 exons. Lineage: Eukaryota; Metazoa; Mollusca; Cephalopoda; Octopoda; Octopodidae. The record is from RefSeq and is a predicted model, not a curated record.